GAUGAACGCUAGCGGCAGGCCUAACACAUGCAAGUCGGACGGCAGCGGCACCUUCGGGUGGCCGGCGAGUGGCGCACGGGUGCGCACCGCGUAUGGAACCUACCCAGUACAGGGGAAUAGCCCAGGGAAACUUGGAUUAAUGCCCCAUGGCAUCCCUGAUAAGGCAUCUUAUUAUUAUUAAAGCUUCGGCGGUAAAAGAUGAGUAUGCGUUCUAUUAGCUAGAUGGUGUGGUAACGGCACACCAUGGCAACGAUAGAUAGGGGCCCUGAGAGGGGGAUCCCCCACACUGGUACUGAGACACGGACCAGACUCCUACGGGAGGCAGCAGUGAGGAAUAUUGGACAAUGGGCGGGAGCCUGAUCCAGCCAUGCCGCGUGCAGGAAGACUGCCCUAUGGGUUGUAAACUGCUUUUAUACAGGAAGAAACACUCCCUCGUGAGGGAGCUUGACGGUACUGUAAGAAUAAGGAUCGGCUAACUCCGUGCCAGCAGCCGCGGUAAUACGGAGGGUCCGAGCGUUAUCCGGAAUCAUUGGGUUUAAAGGGUCCGUAGGUGGAUAAUUUAGUCAGAGGUGAAAUCCUGCAGCUCAACUGUAGAAUUGCCUUUGAUACUGGUUAUCUUGAGUCAUUAUGAAGUAGUUAGAAUAUGUAGUGUAGCGGUGAAAUGCAUAGAUAUUACACAGAAUACCGAUUGCGAAGGCAGAUCACUAAUAAUGUACUGACACUGAUGGACGAAAGCGUGGGUAGCGAACAGGAUUAGAUACCCUGGUAGUCCACGCCGUAAACGAUGGUCACUAGCUGUUUGGACUUUAAGUCUGAGUGGCUAAGCGAAAGUGAUAAGUGACCCACCUGGGGAGUACGUUCGCAAGAAUGAAACUCAAAGGAAUUGACGGGGGCCCGCACAAGCGGUGGAGCAUGUGGUUUAAUUCGAUGAUACGCGAGGAACCUUACCAGGGCUUAAAUGUAGAUUGACAGGACUAGAGAUAGUUUUUUCUUCGGACAAUUUACAAGGUGCUGCAUGGUUGUCGUCAGCUCGUGCCGUGAGGUGUCAGGUUAAGCCCUAUAACGAGCGCAACCCCUGUUGUUAGUUGCCAGCGAGUGAAGUCGGGAACUCUAACAAGACUGCCGGUGCAAACCGCGAGGAAGGUGGGGAUGACGUCAAAUCAUCACGGCCCUUACGUCCUGGGCUACACACGUGCUACAAUGGCCGGUACAGAGAGCAGCCACUGCGCGAGCAGGCGCGAAUCUAUAAAGCCGGUCACAGUUCGGAUUGGAGUCUGCAACUCGACUCUAUGAAGCUGGAAUCGCUAGUAAUCGCAUAUCAGCCAUGAUGCGGUGAAUACGUUCCCGGGCCUUGGACACACCGCCCGUCAAGCCAUGGAAGCUGGGGGUACCUGAAGUCGGUGACCGCAAGGAGCUGCCUAGGGUAAAACUAGUAACUAGGGCUAAG
Molecule: ribosomal RNA, 1447 nt
Filed under: uncultured prokaryote
Description: partial 16S ribosomal RNA
Rfam family: Bacterial small subunit ribosomal RNA
Source: RNAcentral